AUGGACGCGCUGAAGUCGGCGGGUCGUGCCCUGCUGCGGAGCCCCAGCGUCCAUAAACCCUCCUGGGCCGGCGGCCGGCACAAGAAGCUCCCAGAGAACUGGACUGACACUCGCGAGACGCUGCUGGAGGGGAUGCUCUUCAGCCUCAAGUACAUGGGGAUGACACUGGUGGAGCAGCCCAAGGGAGAGGAGCUCUCUGCAGCUGCUGUCAAAAGGAUCGUGGCCACUGCGAAAGCAAGUGGAAAGAAGCUGCAGAAAGUGACUCUGAAAGUGUCUCCCCGGGGGAUCGUGUUGAACGACAGCAGCACGAACGAGCUGAUCGAGAACGUCUCCAUAUACAGGAUAUCCUACUGCACGGCAGACAAGAUCCACGAUAAAGUGUUUGCCUACAUUGCCCAGAACCAGCUCAAUGAGAACCUGGAGUGCCAUGCCUUCCUCUGUACCAAACGGAAAAUGGCACAGGCCGUCACCCUCACCGUGGCACAGGCCUUCAAAAUCGCCUUUGAGCUCUGGCAAGCAGCUAAGGAAGAGAAGGAAAAGCGGGAAAGGUCCAUCUUGGAAGGAGAAGGGACGAGCAGCCCCAGCUCAGAAGCCCCUGCCCACCCUGACACACCAGCAGCCACGGGGAACUUGCUGGAUUUUGAGGAUCCUGCCAAGUCACCCCUGAGCAGCAGCACAGACCCCCCACACUUGGAUAACAGCGUGUUUGGGCCCAGCUCCUCCGUAAACAACAACGUGGUGUGGGAAAUGGAUGAUGGUCUCGACGAGGCAUUUUCAAGGUUGGCUCAGUCGAGGACAAACCCUCAGGUCCUGGACACGGGGCUGACAGCUCAGGACAUCCAGAGUGCAGAGACGCUCUCCCCUGUAGACUGGAACAAGAUAGAUUCCACCACGGGCGAGAAGGAUGAUCUGUUCAUGUUUUGAGGUCAAGUGGAUCGAAGAGCUGGCUGGAGAAUAACCACUAAAAAAGUCUCUGGGCUGGAUCGUGCUGUUGCAGGUGCUGUACACAGGGGGCUCUUCUAAGGGCUCUUCGCCAGGUCAGGUGAUGUUACAGCACAAUUUAGACCAAAGCUAUAGAAACCUGAUGCAGAUUUUUUUUAUACCUUGCUUUUUAUCUGAACCACGAGAUGCUCUUGGCCAUAUUUAUUCCCGGCCGUUACCGUUUACAUGUGUUAUUGGAAGGCGUGGAGAGCAUCUACAGGAUUACGUGGCAAUAAUACCAUGGGAGAACCUUCAGCAGUGCCUGUUGCUCUCUGAAAACAGACUGUGCACCACCAAAGUCCCUCUGUGCUGAUCCUCUAGACAAAGGUCUGCAGAUGCAAAUGCAGUUCCAAGCACAAGUGUUACUAAUCCGCUGAUUCUUGAACAACACGUCACCUGCCUGGGCGAGGGGAGGGGAUUUGCAGCAGCUGCUGACAGUGUUAAAUCAGAGAGGUAGCAGAGAUCUUGCUUUUGUAUGAAUGUCUGUGACACUCUCACAGUUGUCGAUCACCCCUGCGGGUUCUGGCUGUUUCUUCACCAGCUCCAUGUGGGAAUUGACGCUUUUAUUUUUUUUAUUUUUUUUUUUUAACCCAAAGACUCUACGAAGUUUUGCACUUUAAAACUUGAACUGAAAGCGACGGUCCGAGUUGUCAAGCUAAGCAGUGCCUGUAUUUUCUCUUCAGAAGCUAUUUACCCAAAAAUAACCCAACCUGGCAAUGCUGCAGCUCUGUUUCAAAGCUGAUUCCUCACGUCCACCGUCUCUGAUGCGACUCGAAGAUCCUAAAGCUCCGUUGCGCUGUUGGCUUUGAAAGCAAAACCGCCAAGGAGGAAUGAUUUGUUCUGCUGAAGCGUGGUGGAAGUGGCAGCUUGGGUGGACCAGCAGCAGGAUAGAUCUGUGUUCUCACCCUGGCUGAGUGGAUUUGCCUGUCCAUGACUUCUCACUGCCUCAAAACCGUUUGGUUGUUGCUCACUCGAUCGACUCCAGUGGAAUUGGAUUAGGCAAGACCAAUACCUGGAUGUUCAGUUAGCAAGAGGUGCCCCUUCCAGGUACUUGGAUCCCCUUGCUCCCUGACAGCCACAGCUCCCAGGAGGCUCAGGAAGCUGCUUCAUCUGCUCCUGGAACUGAAAAUAAGUAAUGGAGGAAGUGAUUGGGAACAUCCUUGGGAGGUUGUGUCCACUGGACAGCUGAUUCCAGUGCCAUCCAGGUGGGAAGAGGAUUGCAGUCAGACAUUAGUCCAUGGUGCUGCUUCCAAGAAAUGCUUACAGGACUGGAUGUGGCCCCAUGGGAUGCACAGAGGGGUGUACAGUCUGUCCCUGCACUGGCCUUCAGGUAAGGGGAUGAUGAUGAGUGAGGAGAUGGAGGUCGGUGCUUCAGGCUCAUCUGCAGAAAAACGUGGUGCCAGUAGAGUCAAACCCCAAAACCUCUUUAAUUUAUAGAAUUUCUGGAGUCACAAAGUGCUUCUCCCUGUUGGUGAGGGGAGCUGAAUUUGUACAGCUGCCUCUUAAAUAAAAACAGCCCUGGAGAGCCCAGCACGGCCCCGUGUGCUCAGCAUCCCUUUGCAAUUCCUGCCUUUCCUGGGUUCCUUCACUUCCCAGCCCACCUCGCUGCCAACCUUGUCUGGGAAGCGCAUGGAGAGCCCCAUCUGGGGUGCUGACAGGUUUAACCUGCCUGUGCCACCCACUCCCUUUGGGGUCUUGGAGCAGGGGGGCUUUGCAAGAGAUGCCUCUCAUCCCACAGUGCUAACAAGAAAAAAAAAAAGACUGAAAGUUCAUUUUUCAGUUGAAAUUGCCUGUUCCAGGGUGAGCUGUCCCAGAUUAUGAGUGCUGAGUACUGGCAGCCUGCGCCUUCAUGCAUAGCUGAUGGCGAUGCUGAGGAACAAAUUGAUCUUUCGGUUCGGGUGUGACCUUUUUUUAACUGCCGGUUAAGGAACUUUUCAGCAUCCAUUUCCUUCCCCUCUGAUGGCUG
Empidonax traillii (willow flycatcher) is the source of this 2947-nucleotide RNA transcript. It is a transcript of the gene named low density lipoprotein receptor adaptor protein 1, with no coding region annotated. The record is from RefSeq and is a predicted model, not a curated record. The transcript has 10 exons. NCBI's taxonomy places the organism in Eukaryota, Metazoa, Chordata, Aves, Passeriformes, Tyrannidae.